Molecule: ribosomal RNA, 275 nt
Filed under: Phyllobothrium sp. JM3
Lineage: Eukaryota; Metazoa; Platyhelminthes; Cestoda; Phyllobothriidea; Phyllobothriidae
Description: partial 18S ribosomal RNA
Rfam family: Eukaryotic small subunit ribosomal RNA
Source: RNAcentral
GACGGUGUCAACGAGUCUGACCUUCUGGCCCGAAAGGGUUGGGCAAACUGGUCAAUCACCGUCAUGACAGGGAUCGGGGCUUGGAAUUGUUCCCCGUGAACGAGGAAUUCCUAGUAAGUGCAAGUCAUAAGCUUGCGCUGAUUACGUCCCUGCCCUUUGUACACACCGCCCGUCGCUACUACCGAUUGAAUGGUUUAGUAAGGUCCUUGGAUUGGCGCCAUUGUGGUGGCUUCCGAAAGGUGGCUACCCGACAGGUGCUGAGAAGACGACCAAAC